GGGCCCGUAGCUCAGCUAGGUUAGAGCGACAGAAAUUUUCCUUGUCGAAGCUCAUAACCUGUUGGUCGGGAGUUCAAGUCUCCCCGGGCCCA
RNAcentral lists this transfer RNA (92 nucleotides) under Candidatus Bathyarchaeota archaeon. Its description in RNAcentral is "tRNA-OTHER". It matches the Rfam family "tRNA". Rfam says of the family: Transfer RNA (tRNA) molecules are approximately 80 nucleotides in length. Their secondary structure includes four short double-helical elements and three loops (D, anti-codon, and T loops). Lineage: Archaea; Thermoproteati; Candidatus Bathyarchaeota. The record is from RNAcentral. RNAcentral also lists the same sequence under 1 other name.